CUGCAUGAAGUCGGAAUUGCUGUAAUCGCGGAUCAGCAUGCCGCGGUGAAUACGUUCCCGGGCCUUGUACACACCGCCCGUCACACCAUGGGAGCCGGUAAUACCCGAAGUCAGUAGUCCAACCUCGUGAGGACGCUGCCGAAGGUAGGAUUGGCGACUGGGGUGAAGUCGUAACAAGGUACC
Molecule: ribosomal RNA, 183 nt
Filed under: uncultured bacterium
Lineage: Bacteria
Description: partial 16S ribosomal RNA
Rfam family: Bacterial small subunit ribosomal RNA
Source: RNAcentral